UACGUAGGAGGCAAGCGUUAUCCGGAUUUAUUGGGCGUAAAGAGGGCGCAGGUGGUUCUUCAAGUCGGAUGUAAAAUCUCCCGGCUCAACUGGGAGGGAUCGUUCGAUACUGUUGGACUAGAGGACAGCAGAGGAAGGUGGAAUUCCCGGUGUAGAGGUGAAAUUCGUAGAGAUCGGGAGGAACACCGGUGGCGAAGGCGACUUUCUGGACGAAUACUGACGCUGAGGCGCGAAAGCGUGGGGAGCAAACAGG
This 253-nucleotide ribosomal RNA is filed under the name uncultured bacterium. RNAcentral's name for it is "partial 16S ribosomal RNA". It matches the Rfam family "Bacterial small subunit ribosomal RNA", at positions 524 to 776 of the family's 1533-position model. The record is from RNAcentral.